Molecule: microRNA precursor, 102 nt
Filed under: Pelobates cultripes (western spadefoot toad)
Lineage: Eukaryota; Metazoa; Chordata; Amphibia; Anura; Pelobatidae
Source: RNAcentral
GGCCUCAAAAUGAUACUCCAUUUGGUUAAGGAAUCCCCUGCAUUUUGAUGGUAUCCAAGAAUGCAGGGGAUUCCUUAACCAACUGGAGUACCAUUUUGAGGC